GACGAACGCUGGCGGCGUGCCUAAUACAUGCAAGUCGAGCGAAGUUUUUCUGGUGCUUGCACUAGAAAAACUUAGCGGCGAACGGGUGAGUAACACGUAAAGAACCUGCCUCAUAGACUGGGACAACUAUUGGAAACGAUAGCUAAUACCGGAUAACAGUAUUUCUCGCAUGAGAGAUAUUUAAAAGUUGGUUAUGCUAACACUAUGAGAUGGUUUUGCGGUGCAUUAGCUAGUUGGUGGGGUAAAGGCCUACCAAGGCGACGAUGCAUAGCCGACCUGAGAGGGUGAUCGGCCACACUGGGACUGAGACACGGCCCAGACUCCUACGGGAGGCAGCAGUAGGGAAUCUUCCGCAAUGGGCGAAAGCCUGACGGAGCAACGCCGCGUGAGUGAAGAAGGAUUUCGGUUCGUAAAGCUCUGUUGUUAGGGAAGAAUGGAUAUGUAGUAACUAUACAUGUAAG
This 461-nucleotide ribosomal RNA is filed under the name Gemella morbillorum. Its description in RNAcentral is "bacterial SSU rRNA". It matches the Rfam family "Bacterial small subunit ribosomal RNA", at positions 28 to 475 of the family's 1533-position model. Lineage: Bacteria; Bacillati; Bacillota; Bacilli; Caryophanales; Gemellaceae. The record is from RNAcentral.